Long non-coding RNA from Priapulus caudatus, 367 nucleotides. RefSeq lists it as uncharacterized. The transcript is spliced from 3 exons. NCBI's taxonomy places the organism in Eukaryota, Metazoa, Priapulida, Priapulimorpha, Priapulimorphida, Priapulidae. The record is from RefSeq and is a predicted model, not a curated record.
GAAUCAACAUAAUAAAACCUUCAUCAAACCCGAUUUAACCUUGAGUCACAAUGAGUAGGUUGUGUGCAAACGAUGUCACUAAGUCAUUCUAAGCCAUAUAAUACAUACAUUGCAUUGACCUACACUAAUGAUAUUCUACACAGGUGCGCAUGUACGUACAAGGUAAACGAAAAGUGAACAUACACGUCGAAUUAUAUUAUAAAUAUAUUUGGAUUAUUUAUUCCAACCACCCAAUAUUCCAAAUUAUAAAACAGGACACAGCACAGUACAAACCAUCAUCCACAUGAGAAUAUACUGGUCCGCAGUGGAACAUGAAUUAAUAAGCUAUGAACAGAUGCGUGACACGACUAUAUAUAUAUAUAUAUAU